This 438-nucleotide ribosomal RNA is filed under the name uncultured bacterium. RNAcentral describes it as "bacterial SSU rRNA". It matches the Rfam family "Bacterial small subunit ribosomal RNA", at positions 355 to 786 of the family's 1533-position model. The record is from RNAcentral.
UGAGGAAUAUUGGUCAAUGGGCGGGAGCCCGAACGAGCAAUGCCGCGUGUGUGAAGAAGGUCUUCGGAUCGUAAAGCACUGUUGUAAGUGAAGAAUGCCAUAUAGAGGAAAUGCUAUGUGGGUGACGGUAGCUUACCAGAAAGCCACGGCUAACUACGUGCCAGCAGCCGCGGUAAUACGUAGGUGGCAAGCGUUAUCCGGAAUCAUUGGGCGUAAAGGGUGCGUAGGUGGCACGAUAAGUCUGAAGUAAAAGGCAACAGCUCAACUGUUGUAUGCUUUGGAAACUGUCGAGCUAGAGUGCAGAAGAGGGCGAUGGAAUUCCAUGUGUAGCGGUAAAAUGCGUAGAUAUAUGGAGGAACACCAGUGGCGAAGGCGGUCGCCUGGUCUGUAACUGACACUGAUGCACGAAAGCGUGGGGAGCAAAUAGGAUUAGAUACC